CGCGAAAGCCCCCUUCGGGGGGCAAGUAGAGUGGCGCACGGGUGAGUAACACGUAGGUAAUCUACCUUUGGAUGGGGAAUAACCACCGGAAACGGUGGCUAAUACCGCAUAAUGCAGCGGCACCUAAUGGUGACAGUUGUUAAAGCGGGGGAUCGCAAGACCUCGCGUCUGAAGAGGAGCCUGCGGCAGAUUAGCUAGUUGGUAAGGUAAAGGCUUACCAAGGCGAUGAUCUGUAGCCGGCCUGAGAGGGCGGUCGGCCACACUGACACUGACAUACGGGUCAGACUCCUACGGGAGGCAGCAGUCGGGAAUUUUGGGCAAUGGGCGAAAGCCUGACCCAGCAACGCCGCGUGAAGGAUGAAAUCCCUCGGGAUGUAAACUUCGCAAGAACGGGAAGAAUAAGUAAGAGCUAACAUCUCUUAUGAUGACGGUACUGUUUGUAAGCUCCGGCUAACUCCGUGCCAGCAGCCGCGGUAAUACGGGGGGAGCAAGCGUUGUUCGGAUUUACUGGGCGUAAAGGGCGCGUAGGCGGCCACCGCAAGUCGACUGUGAAAUCUCCGGGCUUAACUCGGAAAGGUCAGCCGAUACUGCGGGGCUAGAGUGCAGAAGGGGCAACUGGAAUUCUCGGUGUAGCGGUGAAAUGCGUAGAUUUCGAGAGGAACACCUGCGGCGAAGGCGGGUUGCUGGGCUGACACUGACGCUGAGGCGCGAAAGCUAGGGGAGCGAACGGGAU
This 733-nucleotide ribosomal RNA is filed under the name uncultured bacterium. Its description in RNAcentral is "bacterial SSU rRNA". It matches the Rfam family "Bacterial small subunit ribosomal RNA", at positions 65 to 778 of the family's 1533-position model. The record is from RNAcentral.